RNAcentral lists this long non-coding RNA (293 nucleotides) under Mytilus galloprovincialis (Mediterranean mussel). Lineage: Eukaryota; Metazoa; Mollusca; Bivalvia; Mytilida; Mytilidae. The record is from RNAcentral.
UUGGCAGCUUGAAUUAACAUAUAAGAUACAUAAAUAAGUAUAAUUUACACACAAAAUAUUCAUAUAAUACAAUACAAAAGAUACACAUACGAAUAAUCUAAAUAAAGCGGGCCUAAAAGAAAUAACAAAAUGCGCCAAACAACCCGCCAAAAAAGAUUAACAAAAACAAAUUGUACACACACGCAAAUAGAAGAAUUGAAACCCAAGGAAUGAGACACUUCCUUGUAAGUUCCAGUUGAAUAUAAAAGGAAUAAGAAACUUCCUUUAUACGACACACCCAGAGAAUAUGACGG